UCUUCAACGAGGAAUCCCUAGUAAGCACAAGUCAUCAGCUUGUGCUGAUUACGUCCCUGCCCUUUGUACACACCGCCCGUCGCUACUACCGAUUGAAUGGCUUAGUGAGGCCUUCGGAUUGUUAGUAAAAAACUGUAACAGGUUUUCUGCCGACGAAAAGUUGGUCAAACUUGGUCAUUUAGAGGAAGUAAAAGUCGUAACAAGGUUUCCGUAGGUGAACCUGCGGAAGGAUCAUUACAAAUCGUUGGCGAAUCUCGCCACUUUUUUUUUCGUAUUUAAAACAUCCACUCUUAAAAAUUAUUUUUAAUGAUAAAAUUAAAAAAAGAUCACUUUCAACAACGGAUCUCUUGGCUCUCGCAUCGAUGAAGAACGUAGCGAAGUGCGAUAAGUAAUGUGAAUUGCAGAAUUCCGUGAAUCAUCGAAUUUUUGGACGCAAAUUGCACUCUCCGGUUUUCCGGGAGAGUAUGCCUGUUUGAGGGUCAGCCUAAAUAAAAUCGGCUUCGUUGCUGUGUUUUUCGCGGUAAUGCUUGUCGGAAAUUGGGUUAUCUUAAACUUGUUUAAGUAGCUUAAAAUUUUUUUACGAUUCUAAGAACGUUUCUAAGAAUAUAUUUCUUUCUUACGUUCAAGGUAUCGAAUACUAUUAGACGUGGCCGUCACAUCGGAUCUCGUCCAUAAUUUUUUCUUUUACUGACCUCAGACAGGUAAGAGUACCCGCUGAACUUAAGCAUAUCAAUAAGCGGAGGAAAAGAAAAUAACAAUGAUUCCCUUAGUAACGGCGAGUGAAGGGGGAAAAGCUCAAAUUUUAAAUCGGUCAGGUUCUACCUGUUCGAGUUGUAAUUUGAAGAAGCGUUUUCCGCGUUCGGGUUGACCCAAUCCUUUGGGAUAAGGUAUCAUGGAGGGUGAGAAUCCCGUCCGGUUGACCUUGAAACGCUCUACGAUACGCUUUCAAAGAGUCGAGCUGUUUGGGAAUGCAGCUCAAAAUGGGAGGUAAAUUUCUCCUAAGGCUAAAUACCGGCGAGAGACCGAUAGCGAACAAGUACCGUGAGGGAAAGAUGAAAAGAACUUUGAAAAGAGAGUUAAACAGUACGUGAAAUUGUUGAAAGGGAAACGAUUGAAGCCAGUCAUACCAACGGGAAAUCAACCUUUUGAGCUCGGUCUCGUGGGUUUUGAAGAGUUUCAAAGCCUUCGGAUUCGCGGGAUUGGGAUCUCUCGGUGUACUUUCUCGUACGGUUAGUCAACAUCGGUUUUGAAUGUCAUAAAAUGACUGGAGGAAUGUAGCUUCGAUCUCGUAUUGAAGUGUUAUAGCCUUUGGUAGAUGUGAUGUUUGAGACCGAGGAUUGCAACGGAUACCCUUCAGGGCUAUUCGUCUGAUCUCUGAUACGUUGCCUUGAUGUUGAAAGCUUGCUUAUGAUGUUAGGGUAUUACGGUCAAAAGGUUAGAACGAAUUACAUUCGUUAAGGAUGUUGACGUAAUGACUUUAAACGACCCGUCUUGAAACACGGACCAAGGAGUCUAACAUAUAUGCGAGUGUU
This 1532-nucleotide ribosomal RNA is filed under the name uncultured Glomus. Its description in RNAcentral is "eukaryotic LSU rRNA". The stretch from base 689 to 1532 matches the Rfam family "Eukaryotic large subunit ribosomal RNA", at positions 1 to 694 of the family's 3401-position model. Lineage: Eukaryota; Fungi; Glomeromycota; Glomeromycetes; Glomerales; Glomeraceae. The record is from RNAcentral.